This 253-nucleotide ribosomal RNA is filed under the name uncultured bacterium. RNAcentral describes it as "partial 16S ribosomal RNA". It matches the Rfam family "Bacterial small subunit ribosomal RNA", at positions 524 to 776 of the family's 1533-position model. The record is from RNAcentral.
UACGUAGGGUGCAGGCGUUAAUCGGAAUUACUGGGCGUAAAGCGUGCGAAGGCGGCCUCUUAAGUCAGAUGUGAAAUCCCCGGGCUUAACCUGGGAACUGCGUUUGAAACUGGGAGGCUAGAGUGUGGAAGAGGGGGGUGGAAUUCCAGGUGUAGCAGUGAAAUGCGUAGAGAUCUGGAGGAACACCGAUGGCGAAGGCAGCCCCCUGGGCUGACACUGACGCUCAUGCACGAAAGCGUGGGGAGCAAACAGG